GUCUUAAAUAAAAAGGAAGUGGGCAGCUUCCUGAUAAAGUUCCAUAUCAUUCACAUUUGAUUAGGUGGUUUUCGUUGUAUAAGAUAGCUGCGAAAAGAAAAAAAUAUUUCCUGUCUGCAUUUGCAUGCUAAUUGCAGACGUUUGAAGUUUAAUCCCGUAAUCAAAGAUGAAGUUUGUGAUUUUCUUUGUGAUUUUACUCGGUUUCGUAUUCACCAAUACAGAAGCCGAGGAUGAUGCGAUCAGAAGGUCUGUGAUAGGAUUCAUGCGGCAAGAUGAAAAGAGGAAUCAGAGUAUCCCCAAUUUCAAGAAUGGAAGAGUGAAGAUAUAUGAACGAUGACAUUUUUAUUUUUUUUUUAAUUAAAUGAGGAU
This is a long non-coding RNA of Photinus pyralis (common eastern firefly), 369 nucleotides long. RefSeq lists it as uncharacterized. The transcript has 3 exons. NCBI's taxonomy places the organism in Eukaryota, Metazoa, Arthropoda, Insecta, Coleoptera, Lampyridae. The record is from RefSeq and is a predicted model, not a curated record.